UUUCACUUGAACCAGCCGACACCCACAAACUUCUUCACCUCCCUCACUCCCUUCACCCAAACAAAUAAGCACCGAGGUUCAUCUCUGCUCCCCCUCUCAAUUUAGUCAUCACACACAGACAUCAUCUAACCUUCCACCUCCCUAUUUCCUUCUUGCAAUUCUGGCGGUCGGAGUUAACACCGGCAACAGCUCCGAUCACCAGCCACAAUCACCCUACAACCCAUCUCUCUCUCACUACAACUUCCUGCUCCCUCUCGCUUUGAAGACGAAAUCGAACUCGCCAGAGAUUAGAGAACGGACAUACAUCGGAGGGACUCACCGGUGCCGACCGAAGUCGUUACGUCGGAGCUCGCGGCCAUUGUUAUUUCGGAUAUCCGUUUCGUUCGUUCAGUUCUCAAUCUUUUACUCGCGCAUUAUUGUACAAGGAAUCGCAAACGCAACCACUGUGGAUGUUGACGAUGCAUGGAAUUUAGUAGGAUGCUUAGAU
Helianthus annuus (common sunflower) is the source of this 487-nucleotide long non-coding RNA. RefSeq lists it as uncharacterized. The record is from RefSeq and is a predicted model, not a curated record. NCBI's taxonomy places the organism in Eukaryota, Viridiplantae, Streptophyta, Magnoliopsida, Asterales, Asteraceae. The transcript is spliced from 3 exons.